This 2298-nucleotide long non-coding RNA is filed under the name Mus musculus (house mouse). RNAcentral describes it as "long non-coding RNA chr6:85632863-85635161". Lineage: Eukaryota; Metazoa; Chordata; Mammalia; Rodentia; Muridae. The record is from RNAcentral.
AUAAUUGGUAAUCUUUCUGUGAGGUAAUUAUUGUUAAGGGUUAAAAAUUGGGGUUUUGGUAAGCCUCUUUAGUGGUUUUCGUUAAUUUCUACUCUUUUGUCAUAUAUUUUGCAUCUUAAUUUGUUUUGGGUUUUUACCUUCUUAAGAGUAAAUAAUGUAUUCAUAUUUUUUUGUUAAUUUUAGCAUUCUUUUGUAUUACAUUUUUAGAGAGUUUUUUUUUUUAAUGUAGUUUUCAGGUUUUUCUUUGUCCCAUUGACUGGUGCUAUGUGUUUCUUUUUUCUUUUCUUUUCUUUUCUUUUCUUUUCGUUUCUUUGUUUUUGUUUUUGUUUUUGUUUUUUUUUUCAAGACACGGUUUCUCUGACUAGCCCUGGAACUCACUCUGUAGACCAAGUUGGCCUCAAACUCAGGCCACCUGCCUCUGCCUUCCAAGUGCUAGGAUUAAAAGUGUGCACCGCCCCUGCCCUGCUGGCUUUGUGUUUUUUAAUUACAUUGUAAUCACGGCAGUUACUCGGAAGAAUGACCUCAGUUACUCGGAAGAAUGACCUCAUUCACUCUAUGUAAACAUGUUCAGAAUUGCUUUGUGAUGUUUUUAUUUUGACCAACUUAUGGUUGUCAAGAUUGUGUGUUCUGAUGCUGCUGUGUUGAGCAGAGAACAAUCCAGUUCGGCUGUCCCAUGACUUGUUGCUGUAUUUCCGUUUGCUAUAUUUGUCUGCUUUUUAGCCAAGACAUGGUAGGCACAUAUUGCAUGGUAACAUAUAAUCACACUUCCAAGCAUGAUUUUCUCAUUUCUGUCCUUCCCUUAAGAGAGAGAGAGAGAGAGAGAGAGAGAGAGAGAGAGAGAGAGAGAGAGAGAGAGAAGGAGAGUGCAUUUGAGUUAAAAGUUAUGGGGAAGUUGUAAGUUCUCCUUGUACUUAGUCUUUUGGGGAGUUAGUGACCUGCCCAAUCACUUAACAUGACACAUUUUCAUUUCCUAAAAGAUUUUCUACAUAGUGACAAUGAAAACAUCCAGGUCAGGAAAUUGAUACUGGAAUUAAUUACAAGUGUCAUUCUGACUUCUCUACUUCUCCUGCUGGUGUCUUUUACAGCAGAAGAAAUAAUUCAAAAUUACAUGUUAUAUUAGUUUAUGUGUGUUUAAAGUCCUUUCCUUUGAAACUGUUUCUUCAGUGGUUUCUUGUUUUUAUUUGUUUUUUUGUUUUUGAGACUGGGUCUCUCUAUAUAGUCUGGGUUAUCCUGAAACUCACUAUGUAGCCCAGGCUGGUCUGGAACACAAAGGUCUACCUUCUACUGCGUCCCAAAUUCUGUGACUUAAAGAUGGGCUCUACUACGUCCAGCUUUAGUACUUUCUUAAUAUUCAUAAGCUUGAAGUUUUUUAAGAUUUCAUAAAAUGAUUAUUUUGUGAAAUGUUCUUUGAGUUUUCUUAUAGUUGCAUUUCUGUUAGUUACUUUAUGUAGCACAAAUUAUAUUGACUUUCAUCAUUAUAUCAUAACAUGUUACAAAGUUUUAAUUUGUUACAUGAUUGAAAACCAUCACUUGAAUUACUUAGUAAGACUGUAGCGGCUACAUGUUACUAUUUUUAAGUUAUUCUUUUCUCUACGUAAUUAAAUAUGUUAUAAGAUUCUUUAAAGUUAUAUAAAUAUCUUAGUAUUUAGCAAAUUCAGCUUAUUAUUUAUAACUAUACAGAAUCAUGCUUUCUUAUCUGAGUGGCUUAUGACUGUUUUUAUUUUUAAUUCUCUCUCUCUCUCUCUCUCUCUCUCUCUCUCUCUUCUUACUCUAGGCCUUGAAGUCACAGAAAUCUGCCUGCUUCUCCCUUCUAAAUGCUGGAAUUAAAGGCGUGCACCACACCCAGCCUCUUUCUGUUCUCAUAGAAUCUUCUCUGUAGUUCAGGCCUGCUUCAGCCUUGUCAUCAUCCUUCCUGCCUCACAUAUUGGGGUUAUUGUGUGUGUCAUGAGCCCUGGCUAUUGAUGCUGCUUUGCUUUUUCCUUUUUAUUUGAAAUAAACACAGAGUAACAGGAAAACACAAAAAUAGUUCUGAGAAGCUGAAUGUGGUGGCUCAGGCAUCUAUGAAGCUGAGGCAAAAGAAGGGUUGUCAUAAAUUCCAAGCCAGCUUGGCCUAUAUAUUAAGUUAUAGAGUAAAACUUUCAAGGGCUGGAGAGAUGGCUCAGGGGUUAAGAGAGCUGACUGCUCUUCCAGAGGACCUGGGUUUUAAUUCUCAGCACCCACAUGGCAGCUCAUACCGGUCGGUAACUCCAUAUCUGGCAUUCUCACUCAGACAUACAUUCAGGCAAGACACCAAUGCAC